RNAcentral lists this ribosomal RNA (497 nucleotides) under uncultured bacterium. Its description in RNAcentral is "partial 16S ribosomal RNA". It matches the Rfam family "Bacterial small subunit ribosomal RNA", at positions 28 to 507 of the family's 1533-position model. The record is from RNAcentral.
GAUGAACGCUGGCGGCGUGCCUAAUACAUGCAAGUCGAGCGAACGGACGAGAAGCUUGCUUCUCUGAUGUUAGCGGCGGACGGGUGAGUAACACGUGGAUAACCUACCUAUAAGACUGGGAUAACUUCGGGAAACCGUGGCUAAUACCGGAUAAUAUUUUGAACCGCAUGGUUCAAAAGUGAAAGACGGUCUUGCUGUCACUUAUAGAUGGAUCCGCGCUGCAUUAGCUAGUUGGUAAGGUAACGGCUUACCAAGGCAACGAUGCAUAGCCGACCUGAGAGGGUGAUCGGCCACACUGGAACUGAGACACGGUCCAGACUCCUACGGGAGGCAGCAGUAGGGAAUCUUCCGCAAUGGGCGAAAGCCUGACGGAGCAACGCCGCGUGAGUGAUGAAGGUCCUCGGAUCGUAAAACUCUGUUAUUAGGGAAGAACAUAUGUGUAAGUAACUGUGCACAUCUUGACGGUACCUAAUCAGAAAGCCACGGCUAACUACGUG